ACUACGCAACGGAUUUUUAUGCGGUUUUUUUUAAUAGAUAGAGUGAUUAAAUAGGAAGGUUUAUAAAUAUAAUAAUAUUAAAUAGUGGAGAAGUACUGUUAUUUUUGAGGUUUCUAAUGUGAUGUAAAUAAUUCCAUUUUUUCCGCUUACAUUGCAAACGCAGGCUGAACCCUACGAGUUUUAUCAAAAUAAUGUACUAAGUAUUGUACACAUUGAAAAGGUCUACAGAAAAGUCCGUGAUGGUAUAUGUCUAUCUCUUAUGGAGUUAUGGAUAACGCACAAUUACUUUUUUUUGUCAUUUACUUUUUACGACAAAUAAUGGCUAAUUUUCGAAGCGAUUUUAAUCAAUACAGCAUUAAUCCUUAACCAAUUAAAUACCUUGAAUACAUUGUUCAUUUAAUAUAGUGACUAUAUGGCCAUUUACACCGUAUGAUUUAAUUGAAUAUUUUCGAAGAUAUUACAGAUUUAAAAAUUGCGGGACGUAGCGUUUGCGGCGGUACCCGCGGCCGGCCGCCAUUGCACCCGUGCGAAGCCGGGGCGGGUCGCUAGUAUUAUAAAAAAAAUGAAACCCGUUUUGCGUUGUCACGGCAAUUCUUUUGUUAUUAUAUUCCUUGAAGAACGAUGAUGGUUCUUAUAUGGAUAAAACGUAAAUAUGUACCACGGGCGAAGCCAGGACAGACUGCUUGUAUAAUAUAUACGUACCUAUAUAGACUUGUAUUAUGAAAAACGAGACAUCGUUUUGAAAAAUGGGUAAGUCGAUUUUUCACAUAAUUAUACAAGACCCAAGUAGGGACAUAGCGAAAUAUAAAUAUACCAACUAGGUACUUAAACAGUUGCAUACAUUAGAUAGUUAUAUACCUAUUAGCUUGCCUUCUAUCUGUUCAUCAUCUUCAACAGACACAUUUUUCAAACAACAAUAGAUCUGUUACCUAACAUACCUACUUAUCUACUGAUUUUUACAGAUAACACUCAGCCAAAUUACCGAAAAAGUAAUAAAAAAGCGUUUACGUCUCUCGGCUCGAAGGAAAAAAUGUGGACCCACAAAACAAAAGAAUAAACAAGCGUUUUUAAAUGAAAACAAAGAAAACAUUGACAGUAAUGAUGUAUCACGGCUUAGUCUGGUGUUUGAAGGAAAUCGGAAUCAUCUUGACAACUAGUACAAAGGGUUUUAUUUAUAGUCCUAGAAUAAUAAAUAUCUUACACAAUUGUA
This is a long non-coding RNA of Colias croceus (clouded yellow), 1210 nucleotides long. RefSeq lists it as uncharacterized. The record is from RefSeq and is a predicted model, not a curated record. The transcript is spliced from 3 exons. NCBI's taxonomy places the organism in Eukaryota, Metazoa, Arthropoda, Insecta, Lepidoptera, Pieridae.